GCCUAUUAGUGGGGGACAACAUUCCGAAAGGAAUGCUAAUACCGCAUACGUCCUACGGGAGAAAGCAGGGGACCUUCGGGCCUUGCGCUAANAGAUGAGCCUAAGUCGGAUUAGCUAGUUGGUGGGGUAAAGGCCUACCAAGGCGACGANNNNNAGCGGGUCUGAGAGGAUGAUCCGCCACNNUGGGACUGNNNCACGGCCCAGACUCCUACGGGAGGCAGCAGUGGGGAAUAUUGGACAAUGGGGGNNNCCCUGAUCCAGCCAUGCCGCGUGUGUGAAGAAGGCCUUUUGGUUGUAAAGCACUUUAAGCGAGGAGGAGGCUACUAGUAUUAAUACUACUGGAUAGUGGACGUUACUCGCAGAAUAAGCACCGGCUAACUCUGUGCCAGCAGCCGCGGUAAUACAGAGGGUGCGAGCGUUAAUCGGAUUUACUGGGCGUAAAGCGUGCGUAGGCGGCUGAUUAAGUCGGAUGUGAAAUCCCUGAGCUUAACUUAGGAAUUGCAUUCGAUACUGGUCAGCUAGAGUAUGGGAGAGGAUGNNNGAAUUCCAGGUGUAGCGGUGAAAUGCGUAGAGAUCUGGAGGAAUACCGAUGGCGAAGGCAGCCAUCUGGCCUAAUACUGACGCUGAGGUACGAAAGCAUGGGGAGCAAACAGGAUUNNNUACCCUGGUAGUCCAUGCCGUAAACGAUGUCUACU
This 695-nucleotide ribosomal RNA is filed under the name uncultured bacterium. Its description in RNAcentral is "partial 16S ribosomal RNA". It matches the Rfam family "Bacterial small subunit ribosomal RNA", at positions 128 to 817 of the family's 1533-position model. The record is from RNAcentral.